GCCUCCGUGGUUUAAUGGUAAAAUGCGGGCUUCCCAUGCCUGAGCUUCGGGUUCGAUUCCCGGCGGUCGCA
Ilyonectria robusta is the source of this 71-nucleotide non-coding RNA. Lineage: Eukaryota; Fungi; Ascomycota; Sordariomycetes; Hypocreales; Nectriaceae. The record is from the annotation of a RefSeq genome assembly.